UCGCGUGCGGGGAAGACGGCCCUACGGGUUGUAAACCGCUUUAGCCGGGGAGUAAACGGGCGCCACGCGUGGCGCCGUGAGAGUACCCGGAGAAUAAGCAUCGGCUAACUCCGUGCCAGCAGCCGCGGUAAUACGGAGGAUGCGAGCGUUAUCCGGAUUCAUUGGGUUUAAAGGGUGCGCAGGCGGCGCUCCAAGUCAGCGGUCAAAUCGCCGGGCUCAACCCGGUGCCGCCGUUGAAACUGGAGUGCUCGAGUAGGUGCGACGGAGGCGGAAUGCGUGGUGUAGCGGUGAAAUGCAUAGAUAUCACGCAGAACCCCGAUUGCGAAGGCAGCCUCCGAGCCCCCGACUGACGCUGAGGCACGAAAGCGUGGGUAUCGAACAGGAUUAGAUACCCUGGUAGUCCACGCGGUAAACGAUGAAUACUGGUUAUCCGGCGCGAUUGUGCGCUGGGUGACUCAAGCGAAAGCAUUAAGUAUUCCACCUGGGGAGUACGCCGGCAACGGUGAAACUCAAAGGAAUUGACGGGGGCCCGCACAAGCGGAGGAACAUGUGGUUUAAUUCGAUGAUACGCGAGGAACCUUACCCGGGCUCAAACGCGCAGAGACAGCCGCGGAAACGCGGUCUCCCCUCGGGGCCCUGUGCGAGGUGCUGCAUGGUUGUCGUCAGCUCGUGCCGUGAGGUGUCGGCUUAAGUGCCAUAACGAGCGCAACCCCCAUCUCCAGUUGCCACCGCGUAGAGGCGGGCACUCUGGAGAGACUGCCGGCGCAAGCUGUGAGGAAGGCGGGGAUGACGUCAAAUCAGCACGGCCCUUAUGUCCGGGGCGACACACGUGUUACAAUGGCGGGGCACAGAAGGAAGCCAGGCUGCGAGGCCGAGCCGAUCCCGAAAACCCGUCUCAGUUCGGAUCGGAGUCUGCAACCCGACUCCGUGAAGCUGGAUUCGCUAGUAAUCGCGCAUCAGCCAUGGCGCGGUGAAUACGUUCCCGGGCCUUGUACACACCGCCCGUCAAGCCAUGGAAGCCUGGAGUGCCUGAAGUGCGUGACCGC
Molecule: ribosomal RNA, 1046 nt
Filed under: uncultured bacterium
Lineage: Bacteria
Description: bacterial SSU rRNA
Rfam family: Bacterial small subunit ribosomal RNA
Source: RNAcentral